RNAcentral lists this ribosomal RNA (253 nucleotides) under uncultured bacterium. RNAcentral's name for it is "partial 16S ribosomal RNA". It matches the Rfam family "Bacterial small subunit ribosomal RNA", at positions 524 to 776 of the family's 1533-position model. The record is from RNAcentral.
UACGUAGGGUGCGAGCGUUGUCCGGAAUUAUUGGGCGUAAAGGGCUCGUAGGCGGUUUGUCGCGUCGGGAGUGAAAACCCAGGGCUUAACCCUGGGCUGGCUUCCGAUACGGGCAGACUAGAGGUAUGCAGGGGAGAACGGAAUUCCUGGUGUAGCGGUGGAAUGCGCAGAUAUCAGGAGGAACACCAAUAGCGAAGGCAGCUCGCUGGGACGUUACUGACGCUGAGGCGCGAAAGCGUGGGGAGCGAACAGG